RNAcentral lists this ribosomal RNA (888 nucleotides) under Escherichia coli. RNAcentral's name for it is "partial 23S ribosomal RNA". It matches the Rfam family "Bacterial large subunit ribosomal RNA", at positions 341 to 1230 of the family's 2925-position model. Lineage: Bacteria; Pseudomonadati; Pseudomonadota; Gammaproteobacteria; Enterobacterales; Enterobacteriaceae. The record is from RNAcentral.
UCUGGAAAGGCGCGCGAUACAGGGUGACAGCCCCGUACACAAAAAUGCACAUGCUGUGAGCUCGAUGAGUAGGGCGGGACACGUGGUAUCCUGUCUGAAUAUGGGGGGACCAUCCUCCAAGGCUAAAUACUCCUGACUGACCGAUAGUGAACCAGUACCGUGAGGGAAAGGCGAAAAGAACCCCGGCGAGGGGAGUGAAAAAGAACCUGAAACCGUGUACGUACAAGCAGUGGGAGCACAGAGCAAUCUGUGUGACUGCGUACCUUUUGUAUAAUGGGUCAGCGACUUAUAUUCUGUAGCAAGGUUAACCGAAUAGGGGAGCCGAAGGGAAACCGAGUCUUAACUGGGCGUUAAGUUGCAGGGUAUAGACCCGAAACCCGGUGAUCUAGCCAUGGGCAGGUUGAAGGUUGGGUAACACUAACUGGAGGACCGAACCGACUAAUGUUGAAAAAUUAGCGGAUGACUUGUGGCUGGGGGUGAAAGGCCAAUCAAACCGGGAGAUAGCUGGUUCUCCCCGAAAGCUAUUUAGGUAGCGCCUCGUGAAUUCAUCUCCGGGGGUAGAGCACUGUUUCGGCAAGGGGGUCAUCCCGACUUACCAACCCGAUGCAAACUGCGAAUACCGGAGAAUGUUAUCACGGGAGACACACGGCGGGUGCUAACGUCCGUCGUGAAGAGGGAAACAACCCAGACCGCCAGCUAAGGUCCCAAAGUCAUGGUUAAGUGGGAAACGAUGUGGGAAGGCCCAGACAGCCAGGAUGUUGGCUUAGAAGCAGCCAUCAUUUAAAGAAAGCGUAAUAGCUCACUGGUCGAGUCGGCCUGCGCGGAAGAUGUAACGGGGCUAAACCAUGCACCGAAGCUGCGGCAGCGACGCUUAUGCGUUGUUGGGUA